AGGGUUGUAGCCAAGUGGUAAGGCACAGGGUUUUGAUCCCUGAAUUCACAGGUUCGAAUCCUGUCAAUCCUG
Molecule: transfer RNA, 72 nt
Filed under: Clostridia bacterium
Lineage: Bacteria; Bacillati; Bacillota; Clostridia
Description: tRNA-Gln
Rfam family: tRNA
About the family: Transfer RNA (tRNA) molecules are approximately 80 nucleotides in length. Their secondary structure includes four short double-helical elements and three loops (D, anti-codon, and T loops).
Source: RNAcentral